CCUACGGGAGGCAGCAGUGGGGAAUAUUGCACAAUGGGGGAAACCCUGAUGCAGCGACGCCGCGUGAGUGAAGAAGUAAUUCGUUACGUAAAGCUCUAUCAGCAGGGAAGAAAAUGACGAUACCUGAGUAAGAAGCCCCGGCUAACUACGUGCCAGCAGCCGCGGUAAUACGUAGGGGGAACGCGUUAGCCGGAUUUACUGGGUGUAACGGGAGCGGAGACGGUUGGCCAAGUCUGGAGUGAAAUGCCUCAGCUUAACUGCGGAACUGCUUUGGAAACUGGCGAACUAGAGUGCGGGAGGGGUAAGCGGAAUUCCAAGUGUAGCGGUGAAAUGCGUAGAUAUUAGGAGGAACACCGGUGGCGAAGGCGGCUUACUGGACCGUAACUGACGCUGAGGCUCGAAAGCGUGGGGAGCAAACAGGAUUAGAUACCCCAGUAGUC
This 440-nucleotide ribosomal RNA is filed under the name uncultured bacterium. Its description in RNAcentral is "partial 16S ribosomal RNA". It matches the Rfam family "Bacterial small subunit ribosomal RNA", at positions 338 to 795 of the family's 1533-position model. The record is from RNAcentral.